GAUCAUGGCUCAGGAUGAACGCUGGCGGCGUGCUUAACACAUGCAGGUCGAACGAAGCACUUUAUUUGAUUUCCUUCGGGACUGAUUAUUUUGUGACUGAGUGGCGGACGGGUGAGUAACGCGUGGGUAACCUGCCUUGUACAGGGGGAUAACAGUUGGAAACGGCUGCUAAUACCGCAUAAGCGCACGGCAUCGCAUGAUGCAGUGUGAAAAACUCCGGUGGUAUAAGAUGGACCCGCGG
This 241-nucleotide ribosomal RNA is filed under the name uncultured bacterium. RNAcentral's name for it is "partial 16S ribosomal RNA". It matches the Rfam family "Bacterial small subunit ribosomal RNA", at positions 15 to 236 of the family's 1533-position model. The record is from RNAcentral.